AAUUACUGGGCGUAAAGCGCACGCAGGCGGUCUGUCAAGUCGGAUGUGAAAUCCCCGGGCUCAACCUGGGAACUGCAUUCGAAACUGGCAGGCUUGAGUCUUGUAGAGGGGGGUAGAAUUCCAGGUGUAGCGGUGAAAUGCGUAGAGAUCUGGAGGAAUACCGGUGGCGAAGGCGGCCCCCUGGACAAAGACUGACGCUCAGGUGCGAAAGCGUGGGGAGCAAACAGGAUUAGAUACCCUGGUAGUCCACGCCGUAAACGAUGUCUACUUGGAGGUUGUGCCCUUGAGGCGUGGCUUCCGGAGCUAACGCGUUAAGUAGACCGCCUGGGGAGUACGGCCGCAAGGUUAAAACUCAAAUGAAUUGACGGGGGCCCGCACAAGCGGUGGAGCAUGUGGUUUAAUUCGAUGCAACGCGAAGAACC
Molecule: ribosomal RNA, 422 nt
Filed under: Salmonella enterica subsp. enterica serovar Muenchen
Lineage: Bacteria; Pseudomonadati; Pseudomonadota; Gammaproteobacteria; Enterobacterales; Enterobacteriaceae
Also listed under: 6 other names
Description: partial 16S ribosomal RNA
Rfam family: Bacterial small subunit ribosomal RNA
Source: RNAcentral